CUAGAGAACCUAACACACACAGUCGCACCCCCAAGCAACAAAAUGCACACACUCACGCACAAAAGGAGAGUGACGAGCAAAUAGGGGAUAGGCAUCAAAUUUAUCCAAAAAAGCUCCAUUAAUCUACACUUGAAGACCACCCAACACACACAUUGAAAAAGAACAGCAGCCGCCGCCCUUGGACGUCCCCUCUCUCGUGCCUGCCUCACUCCCCUUGUCGCCGGCCAGCCGCCGGACUUCACAACCGGCGAGUCUGGUCGUCCACCACACCCCCUUCUUGAACCCAGAUGUUUCAACCUCUCUUCAACCCCCUAAAAAAACGAGCAAACCACCAAAGAAAUCAGCAGCAACCUGCGAAAAAAGAAAGGAAAACGUCGGGCCGGAAAUUUGUUUACGAUCUGACCGGAAAAAUUAAUCCGGCGACCACCAACUGGCGUCCCUCCCUACUGCCACCUUCAAAACCAGUCUUAGACCACCGAAAAACCACCCUGAACCAAUGUAAAUCAGCUAGUCGAGCUGGGUCUGUUCGAGGUUGCGAUUCCGGUUGGAGUUUUCGGGUCCAUAGCUCGUAGAGGAUCACUGUUUUGCGGAUUGUCCCGUCCUUUGUAAUGCUUGAAAUUUUAAGCAAUAGAGGUGUGGAUCUACUUACCAGAGCUUGAGCAUGAUAGACGCCCCAGGACCAUCCAGUCAGGAUCACUGCAUUCAGGAGCUGCUUAAGGAGAUUUUUUUAAUGUUUUGAGUUUGUUUUUUUAUGUUGUCUUGUACUUUAUAGUCGUGUCCAGUAGUACUGAUUCUUUUAGUUGGUGUCAGAGUUUGUCGCAAUAUAGUUGAAUUUGUCGAGUCUCUCAUUAUCGUACUUCCUAUGAUGCAUUUGAAAACCAAAAAAUUUAUAAAUAAAAAUCCAAAAGA
This is a long non-coding RNA of Nicotiana attenuata, 909 nucleotides long. RefSeq lists it as uncharacterized. The record is from RefSeq and is a predicted model, not a curated record. Lineage: Eukaryota; Viridiplantae; Streptophyta; Magnoliopsida; Solanales; Solanaceae. The transcript has 2 exons.